ACGCUCGACACCUACGGGGGGCAGCAGUGGGGAAUAUUGCACAAUGGGGGAAACCCUGAUGCAGCAACGCCGCGUGAGUGAAGAAGUAUUUCGGUAUGUAAAGCUCUAUCAGCAGGGAAGAUAAUGACGGUACCUGACUAAGAAGCUCCGGCUAAAUACGUGCCAGCAGCCGCGGUAAUCUGAGCGGGCUGGCAAGGC
Molecule: ribosomal RNA, 198 nt
Filed under: uncultured bacterium
Lineage: Bacteria
Description: partial 16S ribosomal RNA
Rfam family: Bacterial small subunit ribosomal RNA
Source: RNAcentral